RNA transcript from Notothenia coriiceps (black rockcod), 2966 nucleotides. It is a transcript of the gene named sperm flagellar protein 2-like, with no coding region annotated. NCBI's taxonomy places the organism in Eukaryota, Metazoa, Chordata, Actinopteri, Perciformes, Nototheniidae. The record is from RefSeq and is a predicted model, not a curated record. The transcript has 13 exons.
GCAACAAAAAUGCGCAUUGCGCUGGUAAAAGGUCACGGUCUGAGGAUAGUGAACUCCCUGCAGAGCAGAGCAGAGGAGACUUUAAGCAACAUGGAGAAGUGGUUAGAAGCCCACUAUCUUCCAGCCAUGAAAAGUAUUGAUCAACUCUCCGAAGUGAUCCGCCAUCACAUUGAGGCUGGUGAUAAGUUGAAAUUUGAACUGGUGUUGGAAUGUACUGACUUCUACCUGAAUGGAGACUGCCUCAUGGUGGCUAGCCCGGCCCCCCCUCCCCGCCCAGCUCCUCUGGAGAAACCCACAGGGUCCACCCCAACAAUCACCCAGCUACAGUCCCUCCACCAACAGCUAUGCAACGUUGCUCCAUCAGGCCUCAUAUCCAGUUCUGAGUUCUACAGUUUGCUCUGGGAUCUCAUAGUUGUUACACUGGGCAAAAACACCUUGCCUGAGCCCUGGAUUAAACAGAAUGAAACACAGAGGAUGGAGAUUGUGUCUCUGCUAACAGAUGAAUAUGAGCUGAUAGACUGGCGUAAGUUUCUGCUCAGUGCUGCCCUCCCUUGGCCAUUCCCCUCCCUGUCACAGCUGCUGACUGUGCUCCAACGCUUCAAGGCAGCCGAUCGUGGAAACACAGGCUAUAUAAACGAGGAGCAGUACCUACAGACCGAGCUGUGGUUUUCCAGUGAGAGUGUCCUGCCCGUCCCAGAAGACCCCUCAGAGCCUCUACCUUAUGACCGUCUGGCUAACCUACGCAAGUUUUUUUUCCAGUUGUUUGCGGACCACUCUUUCUCUCCAUCUCGACUGGAUUAUUUAACCAUGCUGCAGUACUUUGCAGCCGACCCUAACCCCAGACAAGGUUUCAUCAGAGCGCUCAGUGUCGUGCUAGGACAACAUCUCAAGCACUCCUCCCAGGGACAUCUUGUCAAGUCGAUGCCCAGUAUAGAAGAGGCUACAGAGUUGGAUGAAGACUACAAAGAAGCAGAGUGUGCGUUAGCAUCAAGCAGUCUGCUGGGGGAACAGGAAGUGUCCCUCCCUGCUCUCCUCGCUGUCAUCUCCCAUAAAGUCACCAAAAUAAAAGACGUCAUCCACCUUCCUCCAGACUGCCUGAGUCAAGAGGAGCACACUGAGCAACUAGCGCAUAUAUUCAGAGCGCUGGGCUACAUGCCUGAAGACUGUAUCCCCUUCUCCGUUCUCUCUCUGCACCCUUUCAUCCAGGAUUUGAUGGAGACCUCAACACACUUUCAGCUUGUAAACAUUCAUAGAGUGCUACUGGCUCAUCGAGAUGAAGGAGAGGCUAACAGCUCAACAGUUUCCUAAAGGAUGACACACAUAUGCUCUGCUCCACAUUGAAAAUGCUUUGGCCACGUGUGAAGUAUUCUCGUUACAGUUACCUUUGACAUCUUCGAUGAUAUCUAUGGCUUAUUUCAUUUUUGAAUAAAUAUAUUUACAACCGUAACUUGCGUCAUCAUGUAGAAAUGUCUGUAACAAACGGUGGUUGAAAUGACAACAAUAACAUCAAUGAUGUCAGGAUUGACCCCUCUUACUCGUUUUUCCCCCCGAUACACUCCAGCAGUUUUUCUGACUGAGUUGUUUUUCUAAUGACCCUUCUGACACAGAAAGGCAUUGGUUGUGGCUACAAUGAGAGCAUUGUCCAAGAUAACCUACAUGUCAAGCCUGACUUACCAGCAACUGCCUGCUGCCUGCCAGGGCACCCUCAGCCUGUCACUGCCCCGUCAGCAGUCGUGUGUUCUGGUGGUGGCUACUCUCUCUAGCAGUCAGUGCCGCCUGCCUAUCAAUCACAAUUACGCUGACAGGUCCAAGGCUCUUGGACCUCUCAGUGACUUAUAGAGAAAACAGUGCCGCUGACAUGUAUCAUGGAGACAGUAUCAUACUUGCAGACUUGCAUCCAAAACCGUCUGAAUAAGGAAUUCAUCAAAGUCUUAAUGUCGGACCUUUGACAUCGACCACUGCAGACAUAUGAACCAUCUUUACUCCUGGCUAAACAGACCUGAGAUCCAAGGGAAGACUUUCAGGACUUAACGUGGUCCAUUGAAAAGGUGAUUUUAUCAAGAAUUUGAAUACUUUUCCCUGAGUUAUUUAUUGGCACUUUUAUCUUGGAAAAUGUUUCAUUGGUCUGGAUCAUAGCUCUGUUUUAGGACCUGUUUGCUUCAGAUAUUCCCUGGAUCUAACUUUGUUGCUGCGAUUACGGAGUUAAAGGGGCAUCAUUUAUCAUAAGGACUUCUUGUUGACAAAGCAAGGUUACAUUUGAAUAGGAAGACUAUUUCAAGAAGACUUUGGCUGCAGGUCAGUGUGUGGCACUCUAAAAACAACAUGGGGUUUGUAUUUUGGAUGUUUCCUCUUCUGGCUCUUCCAGUACUUCAGUCUGCCAAAAUCCUGACUGUCUGUCUAAUUGGUGAGUAAUGGAGUGUCCUUCAAUGGUAGUAAUAGAUGUAUUCAUUUAAAAAAUGUGUUCAGAAAUAUAAAAAUAAAUGAGCGCCUCCUUAACAUUUUAAUAUUCAAAUGUAUGCUGUAUGAGCCAUUUUUCAGACAGCAUAGUGAUUUGUUGUAAUUCUUCUUCUCUCACUUUCUCUAGGAGGAAGCCACUACUUAUUAUUAGAUGAAAUUUCUCAUAACUUACACGAGCAUGGCCAUCAGGUCCGCAUGCUCUUGCAACUGGGCAACCCUGUUAUCAAAGGUUUUUCCUAUGCUGGCCGUGCAGACAGCUACCAGACGACCACUUGGUCCGUAGGAGAGGAAUACAUCAGAGAAUACAAUGGCUGGUUCCUGGAGCAACAGACACAGUUUUUACUGGGAAGGGAUAGCUUUAAGAACUUUCUAAACUUCAUGGGGCACCUGUCCUAUCAGUGUGACAGGCUGUUAGCGGACAAAGACAUCAUAAGUUUCCUCCAGAGGGAAAACUAUGACAUCGCCAUCCUUGAUGCUUUUAACCCCUGCUCCUUCAUCCUGGCACACAA